Molecule: long non-coding RNA, 17161 nt
Filed under: Citrus maxima (pomelo)
Lineage: Eukaryota; Viridiplantae; Streptophyta; Magnoliopsida; Sapindales; Rutaceae
Description: long non-coding RNA (CMAX_LNC000555)
Source: RNAcentral
GAACGUGUACCAAUCCCUAAAUCCCCUUUUCUUACUUCACUUCUACUUCUCCUUCUCCAUUGUGAAAGAGAGAGAGAGAGAGGACACAUUCACUCGCACAUACCACGCCCACGCUGCCGCCGCUUCAGAGACUGGUUUGCGAUUGGUGUCCAGCUGAGGGAACCUGAGUUCGGAUUGAAACGGUGAGUUUUGUUAUGUUUUGUUUUUGUUUUGCGUGGGGUGUGGGAGUGUGAAAUUGGAAUAAAGUUUGUGUUUUUAUCGUUUAGUGGGGCGAGUUGAAUGCGGAGCCGUACGUUUUAUGAUCCGUAUUGAGAAGUUGCAAUGUGGAUUUAAGGUGAAAUGAAUCACUAUCGUGUGGAUUUUUUUAUUUUCCCGCUGGUUUGGUUUUUGAAGCCGAAAUGAAGCUUUGGUUUCAAUUUUUGUGAAUCUUUGUCUUGUGUGUGUUUUGGUUUAACAAAACACAUUGCAACUUGAAAAUGAAGAUUUUUUUUUUAAUUUUUUAAAUGGGGUUAGUUGAUUUUCAUCUAUUGAUAUUCCUGGAUUUGUGAAAAAAUAUUUUAAAUAUAUGCAUAAUCUGAAAUGGGUAUUUGCUUGCUUUAUUGGGGAGUUAUGUAAGAAGUGAAAUUCCUGAACUUUCAAGGGAAAAUGCAAUUUUGAUUUAUUAUAAGCGAAGUGAAGUUGUGAAUGAUACAUGAUACCUCACAAAAAAGUUGCUUGCUUCUUUUACUGCCUUCCAGUUCGGCUAAUAUAUCAGAUUCAGUCAAACAGAUUUUCUUGUUCAUCCAAGAGUUUGGUGAUUUAAAUUUAGAAUCUCUGUGUUGUAUUUGUGGUUUUGCUUUUGGAUGCUCAAGCUUCUGUUUUUGACAGAGUGCACAGACGUGAGUGCAUGCAUUUUAUCUGUGGAUUUGUCUUCAGUUUAAGUGUCCAUGCAGAUGGUUUGCACACUUUUGCCUGACUAUCUAAUUUUUAUGUAAUUCUGUAACAAUAUUGGAUAUAAUGUAAUAAAUUUAUACUGGAACUCCACCCCCUCACCUUCGGUUGUUAUGCCUUCUGUUGUUCUUGUGUGUGUGAGACUUGGGCAUUUUCAAUUUUGUGUGAUUGAGCUGUUAUGGAAUAGAAUCUCUGACCAUCAAGUAAAAGUGGUAAUUGUAUAACUGGCCAAAGUUAAAUCCUGAUAGUUCAGGAGAUAUAUACCCAAAAAAAAGGAGAUAUAUUUAUUAAAUAUUUAGUUGCAUGGCAGUGGGCACUAAUACUGAAGUUGGGGGAAAAACCAUGGUAUAGGGAGUAGGUUCUUUGACUUGCUUUUUGAGACAAUGCUAGCCUUUAGAAAAGUUUGAAAAAACAUAGCAUGCAGACCUGCCCAAUUAGUUCUUCCUUUCAAUAAUAGUAAUAAUAAACAAAGAAGAGGAUUUUAAUUAGGUUGCUGUUUCAGUAACUGGACUUCAAUUAGUUCUUCCUUUCAAUAAUAGUAAUAAUAAACAAAGAAGAGGAUUUUAAUUAGGUUGCUGUUUCAGUAACUGGACUUCAAACCUCAAACUCCACAUCAAUCCAUUUGAUUCUAUAAAUCUCCAGGCUUUGGUUUCCCGUUCAUUGACUCGUCUGCACAUUAGCAGGCACAUUAACGGAGAAAUAUUUUAAAAAAUCACAUUAGAUCUUGAAUUAGUUUUUCAUUAAACCCAAUUUUUGCUGAUGCCUAUAACUCAAAAAAUUUGAAGUGGUCCACUACUCUAAUAGGCUUUUCACCAUAGCCUAUUGGCCUGUGUUUUUAUUUUACCGUGUUACUGUCACUUUAAGCUGCACUUAUUUGCUGCUGUGUCUGCUGUUUUUGCUGUUUUUGCUGUUUCUAUUGUUAUUUGAUAUUUUUUUCCUGUUUUUGGGUAACUUUUUAUUUUUUCUGCUGUUAUUUGCUGUUGAUUCUGGUGUUUCUAAUGUUAUUUACUGCUGUUUAUACCGUUAUUUACUGCUGUUUUUUACUGUUUCUACUGGUAUUUUUUUACUGUUUUUGGUAACUUUUUAUUUUUUCUGCUGUUAUUCACUGCUGUUUCUGCUGUUUUUACUGAAUAAAUAUGUUAUUUGGUGUUUUUCUGCUGUUUUUGGGUAAUUUUUUCAGUGUUUUUACUUUUUUACUGUUUUUGUAACUUUUUAUUUUUUCUGCUCUUAUUUACCGUUGAGUCUGCUGUUUUUACUGUUAUUCACUGCUGUUUCUGCUGUUUUUGCUGUUAUUUACUGUUGUGAUUGUUGUUUUUAACUGGAGAAGUUUGUUAUUUGGUGUUUUUCUGCUGCUUUUGGGUAAUUUUUUUUUGCUGUUUUUGAUUUUUUUUAAAAUUGUUUUCACAGUUCAUAGGGAAAAAAAAAUUGAUUGUUAUGUUAACUUUUUUCGCAGAGAAGAGGAGGAUAGCUUAUCCCAAAAUUAGGGCAAAUUUCCCCUGAACACUCACAGCUGUUAGCAAGAGUAUCAGAGAAAGUUUCAAGUGAGUUUUAGGUGUUACAUUUAAAUCUGUUUUAAUUUCUCUAUAGGAUGUUAAAAUCAAUAUUUUUUUUUAGCUAGAGUAUUGGCCAAAGUUAAAGCUUCGGCACAAUCUCGAUGUGAUCACACAUGAAUUGAAAAUAGGAUCUAAAGAUUAACAAAGUUAGGUUUUAGCAAAUGUUACCAAAACGAAAAUAUCCUUAAUGACCAGACCACAAAAUGCACCCACAUAAAACAAAUAAGUAAUCUCGAUUCUAAAGAAACGGGAAAAAUCAGUCCCAUUGCUUAAGCUAACAACAGCAGUACAGCACCAUAAAUCAAUCCCAUUGCCUAAGCUAAUAACAGCAGUACAGCACUGUAAAUCAAUCCCAUUGCCUAAGCCAAUAACAGCAGCACACCCACACCUGUAAAACAAUAUCGUUUGUCUAAUUUUUCCCUAAAUAUGCUAAUAGCAAAAAGUUUAGACCCUAAUCUAUUAAAGUAUUAAUCACAACUCAAAAAAUAUUAAUGAAAAAUAAAUAAAAAUAAAACAAUGGAGUCAACAACUCACUGUCUCCAGUGCGAUUGCAACGGCUGAGUGAGGCUACGACAGCAACAGAUAGCGGUGAUGGCUGAGGCAACGAGCUGUUGAAUCAUGGUUACUGGCGUGAGCUAGCUAAGUUUGUGAAUCACGAUCACGAUCUAUCGUCUGCAGUGAGCUAGCAAAAGUAUCCCAAAUAAAAAAAAAUUGAAUCACGAUUGUCGGCGAAGGGCGUGUGAGUGACGGCAGUGGAGAGAAACUGAGAGUGAGUGAGACUAUAGUGAAAUGCAGUCGACACUGCCAUCACUCACACACCUUCCGCCGAUUCAAUGUUUUUGAUUUAGGAUACUUUGGCUAGCUCACUGCAGACGACAUAUAGUGAUCAUGAUUCAUAGACUUAGCUAGCUCGUCACCUCAGUCAUCGUCACCAACUGUUGCCAUCGCAGCCUCAUUUAGCCAUUGCCAUUGCUCCGGAACCAGUGAGUUGUUGACCCUGUUUUUUUAUUUAUUUUUUAUUAAUUUUUUUCCUUAAUUAUAUUUUUUUGAGUUGUGAUUAAUACUUUAAUAGAUGAGGGUUUAAAUCUUUUUGCUAUUAGCGUAUUUAGGGAAAAAUUAGACGAACGAUAUUGUUUUAUGUGGGUUUGCUGCUGUUAUUAGCUUAGGCAAUGGGAUUGAUUUAUGGUGCUGUUAUUAGCUUAAGCAAUUUUGGAUUGAUUUUUCCUGUUUUCUUAGAAUCGAGAUUACUUAUUUGUUUAUGUGGGUGCAUUUUGUGGUCUGGUCAUUGAGCAUAUUUUCAUUUUGGUAAUUUCUGUGCUGGAAAAUUGAAUUAUGCAAGUAUGCUUCUGCUUUUACGGAGUUCAAAUGAAAAAAAUUAAAUGGAGUUCAAUGAAAGAGUGAGUAGAUACCAAACGCUUAAUCUGCUGCACCUAAGAUCAAGCAUUUGGUAAACACUCACUUUUUCUUGAAUGCUAAUGUUUACUACACACCCACUUUCUUUUUAUAGCUAGAAAUUCCGUUCCACAGUAGCUGUGGGUUAGAAGCCACAUUGCCUCAAUCCCCUAACAUGCCCUGUAUUAAUUACAGUUUUACUAGUAAAUUAGGAUUAGCAAUUUGUACUGUUUGUUAAUGUAGCCAAUCAUACCAGUAAGAUAACAGAGUGUUUGAAUUGAGAUAAUGGAUGUUGAGAAGCAUGAGUCUAUGUUCUGUGUUAUCUAUUGCUGUAUAUGUGGGUUGGAUGAAAAUUGUUUGGUUGUUUCUCUAAUAUUUUAAAUUCUAAUAUCUUUAUUUAGUUUACAAGGAAUUUGCUAAUGAUUUAUCCAUGUUUGUUCUCAGGAAAUUUGUGCUAUAAGUUUACUUUAACCCGGAUGGAAGCCAAAUUUUUUCGGUUUUUGAAGAUUGUAGGUGUUGGCUACAAAGCCAGGGCUGAAGCAGAGGGGCGACUCUUAUAUCUCAAAUUGGGAUAUGUACAUGAUGUUGAACUCACUGUUCCCCCAGCUGUUCGCGUAUUCUGCCUAAAAAACAAUGUGGUUUGCUGCUGUGGACUUGACAAACACAGGGUGCACCAGUUUGCUGCUUCAGUUCGCAGUUGCAAGCCUCCUGAACCUUUCAAAGGCAAGGGUAUAAUGUACACUGAUGAAGUUAUCAAGAAAAAAGUUGGAAAGAAAAAAUCAAAAUGAUGGUGGAGAUGGUCUCUACUUUUUAGCAAUUCGGUUUUUUUUUUUUUGGUGCAUCUAUUCACUGCGCCAGCAAAUCUUCAUUUUGAAGUUGAAAAUAUUUGGAACCUUUCAAGGAUUUCGUAUUGAGAGCUUCCAAUAUCUGAACAACUUAGUUAAGAAAUCGGCGGAUUGUGAUGCUUUUGGAGGCUUUGUUAUAAAAAAAUGUUUGUUGAAAUUUCACCAUUGAAAAUUUCUUAUGCAAAUUCGACGUUGGCUUUAAAUGAUUUUUUUUCUCUGCAGUACAAUUUGUUUGCAAUAACGGUCUUGUGGACCACCUUAUGGACUAGAGUCUUGUAUUUGUUCCAAAUCCAACAUACAGAUGUUUUGAAUAUAAAUUGGAAAAGAAAAAGAAAAGAAGAUCAUAUCAAUUGGAUGAUUGUUUUUAUGAGAGUUCAUAAACAUCUAAUAUCAUCCAACCCAUGAAUGCUUUCAAAUUUGUGAAACAGUGUUUGGUCAACCUCGUUUUUAAGGCCUCAAUGCCUGAGACAGACAAGGGCUAAUAAAUGAUCUAAUGAAUCUACUGUAAAAUUAUGCAAAAGGACACAACUAAAAAUACCUCACAACAUCUUAUAUUUCUUAUAGCUCUUUGGCCCCAACAUCCCAUAUAUUUAAGACUAUACCUGUCAAAUACACAUAAUAUAUUCAUGGGAAUUAAAACUUUUUGGAGUGCUUCAAACUCUCAUCUCAUGUAAGCAUGCAUAUUUUUUAUCAUCAUGUCCAUAAGGAUGGACAAAACUGUACAUAAUAAGCCUAAAAUUUUACAAUAAAUUCAUUUCAUUUCAUCUCAUCUCAUUUCAAUUACCGUGUUCAAUUUUAUGUGGAUCUGAACAGAAAUCUUACUUUUGGUGAGUGGUGGUUUUGAUGUUGAAGCCAAGUCUACCAUCAUUUUAUUUUUAACUUCCUCCAAGCUUCCCUUCAUAUCCUCAAGCAACAAGAAUGGACCAAAAGCCUUGCUAGCAUUUACACGAGCCACCUGCCUUCCUGGCCAAAAUAUGCAAAUUAAGACUUGCAUUAAUCAAAAUAAGAAUAUUUUAACAAACUGUGACACUGGGGUUGGGAAGGGGGCAAUAUCUAAGAAAUAGUCAUUGCAUGUUUUUUUUUUCAAGUUCUUUUUUUUUUUAAUUAAAUAGGCAAAACAUAAUCCCAUAUAAAGCUAAUAAAGCAGUUCAUUUAGGGAAGAUGCAAAAGUUAAAAGGUGUCAAAAAGACCCUCACUAGGAGUCUAGGAUAUACCUCUGUUUACUUCAGAGGGGAAAAGCAGGCGAUGAGGGUAAGGUAACCUGUCCCUGUGGAGAAGAACUACUGCAUCAUAAUUGUUCAACGGUGUCCGGAAAAGGCACUACAAGUGGAAAAUAGCACUGCAGUAAUGCAUAUAAUCUGAAAACAAGGAGUGGAAUAACAUCUGACAAAAGUUUCUCACACACACCCCAUCUGCAAGAAUCAGUCUGAUCCUCUAGUAUGAGUUUAGUAAAUAAGUUCGCACGGCUUCGAGCAUAAGCUGCUAGCCUCUUUAGUUCCGUUACAUCGAGAUAGAUACAUGCCAAUGAGGUAGGCCAGGAGCACCACAAGUAAUAAGUCCACAUGUAUGCCACAUAAAUUUAUAAGUAUUGAGCAGCACGUAAGCAUAGGUUCUAAGAUUGAAGGAGUUUCACCAAGGUGACCACCCUUGGUGGAUAAUUUAAACAAGAACUCUGUAUAUUCAUUAGUUUGUCUUAAAUUACAAACCUAGAAGGUGGAUAAAAAAACGGAAGUACCUUUAUAGAGAACAGGGUUAUAUUCUCUUCCAUAUUUGCUACUUUAAAAUUGCGUAUUUAUUGUACAAAUUUACGGGGGAGAGGUCUUAUGGAACCAUACUUAAACUAAUAUUGAAACCAUACUUAAACCUUGACUUGGGUGUUUUAGUAUGGCGCAAAUAGUCGCACCCCUUGUUUUUCAUCUCUUUAUUAUUGAUGAGUUAGAUUAGGACCCUUAUACAGUGUAACCAUCUUAAACUUCCUUUGGUGCCGCUACUUACUUAAAAGUCAAAUCAUAAUUAAGAAGUAGUUAAUUAAGGUGAUUUUAUCUCACAGUUGUUUGAUGAAAAACUUCUAUUACCUUUACUUAAAAAAAAUAUUAUUUAAAAGUCAUAUAUAUCAAAUAUUAUUCAUCAAUACUUAACUCACAUUUAGAAUUUCUAUUUCACAGUAUUAAAAUACCAAACAGAUCCUUACACUUCAACGGCUCACUAUCAGUAUUGGGAAGACACAGGAUCUUCUUAUUAGGGGUAAAGCUCAAUAAGAGACCUCAGACCCAAAGUAGAAUUUACAUUGUAAUGGCUGAAACCAGCUUCUGAGAAGAGCUUCUUCCAUUCUUUGAUGCUCCGCUCUUUGGCCACACUGAAUAAAGACAUCAUCAACAUGUCACAGCACAAUUGUGUCUCGGUUGAGUCCUUGUCUAUGCUUUGAUCUUCUAUGACCAUGUCUAUGACAAUAACUUUCCCUCCUUUAUCUUUGCUCCCAUCAAUAGCUUCUUUGCACUUCUUCAAUAUCUUCACGCUCUCUUCAUCACCCCAGUUAUGCAGAACCCACUUCAUAGAUAUAUUUUGUCAUAUAAAUUUAAUUAACAAGUUAAAAAUCUUGGAAUUCUGUUAAUAUAUAAAAAAACAGUAAUACUAGAUCCAUAAACUCUUUGUGUAAAUUGAUGCAGUAUAACAAUGUUGAUUUGAUUUAAAAAAAAAAAAACUCCACAUGAUGCAUGUAAUUAAUUUUUAUUAAUAUUUUUUAUUUAGAUGAGUCUAUUUCAACUUAAGUUUUCUAUAAAAAAAAUUUCCCGAAAUUUGAGCCAUUGAUCUUAUACAAUACAAUGAGGGACAAAUUUUGACAUCAUUAAAUGCUAUUUUGACAUUUAAUAUAUCUAAAAUUGGAUUGUAUAAAAUAACUAAUUCAAAAUUUUGAGUAGAAAAUUCAAGCUAAAAUAGCCCACUCUAUUUUCUUCGACCAAAAUUGUUAUAUAUGCUGCAGCUAUUUGUAGAAUGAGGUUGUGACUCAAUAUCAGUAUUGAAACAUUAAUAUUUAAGUGGGAGAGAAAAUAGAAAUCCUAUUAUUAAUCAAUUUAAUUACCUUGAGUAGAACUGCAUCUGCUGGAGGUAUUGCUUCAAACAUGUCGCCUCCAAGAAAUUCCAGGUUCUUAUUAGUCCCCUGCUGCUGCUGCAAAUUAUUAUCAACGACAUGUGGGAGAUCGAAAACGAUGCAUUUCAUUUCAGGAAAAGCUUCUGCGAUGGCUUUGGCCAUAGUUCCAGUGCCGCCACCCAGAUCAACCAGACACUUCAGCCCCUUGAAUACCUCCUUACAAUCUUUAAUCAGAACGCUUGAUAUGAACUGAGAGUCAGCCAUCAUGGCAUCAUAAAAGACGUUUUUAAAUUUAGCUUCUUGAGCCAAACAACCCCAAAUGUCUUUCCCAUGCGUUGACUCAAACACUGUGGGCGUAGAGGGAUCAUCAUUCUUGAACCAAGAGCUCAAGAAAUUGAAGGGAGUCGUUAUUGUAGGAUGGGUUAUCAGAAACAUAAAUGGUGCAGCCCUCGAGGGCUCAUCCUUUAGGAGGAGUCGAGAAGCUAGUGUAAGAGAAUAAUACACUUCUGAUUCAUCUUUGUCGAUUUUAUUUUGUUGAGCAAAGAAGCCAGAGUGAACUAGAAUCCGCAUAAGGCGUUGAAUGCAAUGAGCUUUGUUUUUUUGGAUAUCGAGUGCCGAAGCUAUCUGUGAAAGAGUCAUGGGCUGGCCAUGUUUGUGAAUAACAUCUGGUAUGCCAAGUUCAACGGCACAUUUUAGUGACAUGGAAUUGAUGUAAUUGAAGGCACAAUUCCACACCUGUGCUUGAGCUUUAAGAAGCUCAGAGCUGCUGCUGCUGCUGCUGCUGCUGCUACUACUCUCUGCAUUAAUCAUAUGAUUCAUAUCCAUUUCAGGCUAUUCAAAGCUUGGCGAACCCUUUAAAGAUUCUUGAAUUAUCUGUCAGUAACAAGAAGCGAGCUUAAAUAUUGUCAACGUAGUAUAUGAAUUACCUCCAUUCUUUAAGGUGAUGUUUGGUUUGAAAAAAUGAGAGGAGAGGAGAGGAGAGUGGAGAUGAGGGGAUAAGAAAGGAGAUGAGGAGAGGGUGAAAUUAAAUCUAAUUGUUUGGUUUAACAUAGAAUUUUAAUGGGAAAGGAUAUUACAAAAAAAAAUUUGGACUAACUUACCCUUUACCUUACACCCUAGACUUCCAACGUUAGUUACAAAUAUAAUUUUAAAAAAAAUAUAUGAAUAAUUUAAUUUAAAAAUUAAACAACUAAAUAGCUAUUAGAUAAAAUAACUUGAAUAUUGUAUUUACAAUUAAUUUUUUUAAACCAAUUUAAGUAAUACCGUAUAACUAAUUAAAUAAUUUAAAUUAUUUUCCAAUAAAUUAUUUUUAAUAAAAAUAAUCAAUUUAAACCUCGCCGGAGAGCCGCCACAUUGCCGCCGCGAAAGCUGCCGAAAUAGAGUUUUUCGCCCUCAAAGUGACAUCAAAAUGAUCAGAAACUAAUGAUCUACUCAUUGAGAGAUAAAAUUAUCCAAAAAGUUUACAACGGUGCUGGAAAUUGUAGAGUUAAAAGUUUCUCAAAUGUUUACAAUGAGAUUUGAGCCCAAAAAAGAUAUCUAAUGUCGUUUUCAUUGCCCUGAGAUAGUAGAUCGGCUCUUGAAAAUUCGAUUGGCAUAAAAAUUGAUGAAGAAAUCACUUCGACAGAGGCAGUCCGGCGGCUUUCCGACGGCGGGAUGGCGGCGGUCUGUCGACGGCUGUUGCUGUUCUUUUAUAUUUAAUAAUUUCAAAUUAAUUAAAUAAUAGAUAUCUAUUAUCUAUUAAACUAUUUAAUAUGUUAUUUUAACUUACUUAAAGGAUAAUAUUGAACUUUUGUUUUAAAACUGGUAAGGAACUUAGACUCCUUACCCACUGGCCACUGGUGCAGAAUUAAAAUUCCUUAGUUUCAUAAAUUUUAAAUUCCUUUAGAAAUUAAUUUCUAGUGAACUAUGACCAACCAAACAAAAGAAAUCAUAAAAGAAGUUGAAUUCAUCUCUUUUCCACCCUUCUCUCCGGCCAAUCAAACGUCACUUAAGUUCCUGCCUAGAGGAAUUUUCAACUGCAGGCAUUAUAGAUUAGUCCCCUGAUUUACAAUUUUUUUUUUUAAACAAGGAAUUAUAUAAUAAUUUAUAAUUUGAACGACCUUGAUGCUUGGUACUCAGUACCCCCGUUUUAUGUAUUAAAAAAAAUUAGAUAUCAAUUUUAUCAGCACAUGGGUCAGCAGAUGGAUACAUUGAACCCAUUAAAAAUGCUCUUUAGAGAUAGUGAGAUACACGCUAUUUCUCGUAAAUCAUGACAUCCAUCACCCAAAUUUCAAAAAAUUCUGAUUUUUCUUUAAACACCCCUCUGAGUUUCAAUAAUAACCCUUGUUGUUUUCGAGAUUAAUCUGAUAUUAAAUCUAUUGAGUUGACGAAGCUAUUCAAAUUUGAUCCCAUGCCACACAAUUUUUCCUCCUAUCUAUUUUAUAGGGAUGUUUACUAAUAUUUAUAUAAGACAAUUGAUAAAUUUACUAUCUUCAAAUCACUCUUCUUAUUUUUAAAAAAUCUCAAUUUACUCCUCAUUUUUGUUAAGGAAAAAAAAAAAUCAUCAACUCACCCAUUUUUUCUUUAUCUUUUAUACAAAAAUAAGAGUAACUUGAGAUUUUCAAAAGUUAGAAGAUGAUUUGAAGAUGAUCAAUUCAUAAUUGAGAUAAUUCAAAAUUUAUUCUUUUUAUAAACAUGAUUACUUGAAUGGGUGCAGAAACCGAUCUCGUAAUUCUAACCAAGUGAUUUUUAAAUAAUUUUAUUUUGCUACCCACACAAAUUCAAAUUUUAAGAGAAAUAAAAAAUUAAAUAAAUCUAAUUAAACUUUGUCCAUCCUAUUAAAAAAAUAAAUAAAUAAAAUCGGUCAAGAAGCUUAGCAGCAUCUUCGCUUAAUAAGAAGAAAAAAGAAAAAAAAAAAUUACAUCAGCAUAUGUGUCAGCAAAAAUGACCCACGUAGGGUCCAAUCCAAUAUAGAAAAUUCUUUAUUACUUAUGCCCGACCGACAUGGCGGAAUGAUUUUUUGAAUAGGUUUCAAAAGCUUUAUUUAGUUAGUUAAUUGAGCUUGAGUCUUGUGAGAUAGAGAGUUGAAAAUUGAUGCGGAUUUUGUCCAUUUAUUUACUUUUAAAACUAAAUAAUAAUUAAUUUGACAAUUUUAUUACAUUUUUUUUUGGUUAAAAGUACUUAAUCAUGUUUGCCCCAAAAAAAUUAAUCAAGUAAUUUUAAACAGUUUUAUUUAUACGGCAUCCCUGUUUAAAUCUUAAAGUUAUAACAUAAAAUUGAUUUUUUUUAUAGGUAUUAUUCAAGUCAAACUUCUCAGUAAAUCAGUCUAUUAAUGUACAAUAAGUAUUUAUUUAAAUUCAAAUUAUCGAUUGUAAUGCAAUGAUUAGGAUAAUGAUUUCUUUUUUGUGCAUUAAAUAUUUGAUUUAAUGUAAGAAUAUCGUUUUCUACUAUCAUUGCCAUUGUUUUGAUAAAUCCUAUUCAUAACCUUGCUUGAAAUUUAAACCAUUGAUAAAACUAACAUUUCACUGUAAACGCAUUAGGAAAAAAAAAGAAGUAUUUGAAUUGCAAACGGCUAGCUGAAUGGAAUACAUCCGCUACCAAGUCAAUAAUUAAAUCCCUCUCUUUCCCCUUUUUUGGGAAAAUGUUGGAAACUUGGAACACUCUCCAUAGGAGUGAGAUAGGAAACUUGGAAAUUUUUUCACUUUAUGUGUACACGGAGAUCCUUUGGUUCAUUUCUUCUAUUUGAGAGAUUAUCUAAAUUCAAUUACAAUGUAGUGUGUUUUUCUCCGUUACAAUUUUUUGACAUCCUAGAUGAAAAUCGAAUAUUAAAAAUUUUCUAGAGACCUAAUUAUGUAUGUAGGACAUAUAGUAUAUAUAGGAGGGACCAAAUUAUCAUUCACAUACCUGCUAAAACAUAUAAAGAGUACAUAAUGCUUUCUUUUUAUUUAUUUCACAAAAUUUCCAUUUCUUUAGCACACUCGCAAUUAUUACAACUUGGGUUCUUAUUUUGUAACUAAUAUAUUAGGUAAGUUACAACCCACCGGAGAAUCCAAGUAAAAUGAAGCUUAUUACAACAAUACAUAAAUAAGCAUUUGAUAUUCACUUAAAAGAUAUAAUGAUAGGUAAUGUUUAAUUUAAAUUUUAACUCUUAUAUUUUUUUGGAUUCAAAUUUAGAUGGCCUUCUAAAUAAAAUUACUUUGAAACUACUCGAUCUGACCCUAGGGCCAAGAAACAAAUUUUAAGGAUAAACCUCAAUAAGAGAUCUUAAACCUAAAAUGGAGGUAAUUUUAUAGUCACUAAAACCAGCAUCGGCAAAAAGCUUGGCCCAUUCUUUCUCAUCUCGUUCUGUUCCGGUGGCCAAGACCAUCAUCAACAUAUCAAAAAAGAGUUGUGUUUCAAUAGACUCAUCAUGCCCUUUUUCAUUCUCUCUCACCAUGUCAAUUAUAAUCACCUUCCCUAUCUUGCCAUCGCUCGUAAUUGCUUCCUUACAUUUCUUAAGAAUCUUCACGCAUUCCUCAUCAUUCCAGUCAUGCAAUAUCCACUGCUUGUCAUCACCAAUAAUAUUAGAAUUUAAAAUAUUUGAAGAUUCAGAAUGGAAAAUAAAAUGAGUAUAUGAUGUACAUAAGUAAUUCGAGAUCCUUCUAGUAUAUAUAUUAAUUUUAUGCUCAAGAAACCACUUUAGUUAAACUAUAAAAAUUAAUACGCGUACCUUGAGUACAACAGCAUCAGCUGGGGGAAUGGCCUCAAACAUGUCCCCUCCAACAUAAUUGAGAUUGGCCAAAUCGCUUUCGAGGCCAUUAACCACAUGCGGCAGAUCAAAAUCAGUGCAUUCCAAAUUUGGAAACGCUUUAGCUAUGGCCUUGGCCACAGUUCCCGUGGCCCCACCCACAUCCACUAACGAAUUCAAACCUUCGAACACAUCCUUACACUUAUGUAUCACCACUCUUGUUGCCAACCGCGCAUCACUUGCCAUGGCUUCAUUGAAGAAAUUGUUAAUCUUUGGCUCGUCCCCAGCAUACUCCCAAAAACUCUUCCCAUGUACCAUAUCAAACGGCGCAGGAUCGUCGCUUUGAAACCAAGUGCUCAGUUUCAGCCACGGUGAUAGCAAAAUAGGAUCUAGCACGGCUUGCAAGAGAGGUGUCACGCUUAAGGGGCUGUCUUUUAGGAGGAGUUUAGAAGCAUUUGUGAGAACAUAACCUUGUUCUUCGUCAUUGCUAUUUAGCGUUUGCUGUGUAAAGAAGCCUGAGUGGAUCAGAAUGCGCAUCAAGCGAUACACACAUCGGGUUUUUGAUGGGUUUAUUGUUAAGGCACUAACAAGCUCGUUGAGGGUCAUGGGUUUGCCAUGUUUGUUGAUAAUAUCUGGUAUGCCUAAUUCAACAGCGCAUUUAAGUGACAUGGAGUUUAUGAAAUUGAAAAUGUGAUUCCAAACAUGAGCUUGAGCUUCAAGUAGCUUAGUAUCAUGCUCUCCAUCGAUCAAAUUCAUCUUUAUUAGGCUGAGUAGGGUUAAUUGAUAUUUGAUGCAAAUCAAUGAGUUUGAGCUCUAUAUAUAAUAGCGAAAGAGUCAUAUGUAAUAUUAGACCCCAUUUGGUGUUAAAAGUGUUGUUUUUAAUUUAAGCUCUAUGGAAAAAAAAUUAUAAUUGUUAAAUAAAAAUUGAUGGUGUAAGAUAAAUAUGAUUGCUAAAUAAUAAUUUUAACAAAAAUAAUAUAGAUGUAUAGGUUUUCCAUCACACAAGUGUCGAGAAAAUUAACUCAGCUUUCAAAUUACAACAACAAAUGUUUACCAAAUACUUUAAAGAUGCAGUACCAAAUUAUAACCACGCGCCUAACUAUAAUACCAAACAAACACAUAAUAUGUGUACACAAUAAUUUUCUGUCAUGGCAUCCAAAAAAAAAAAGUGUUGGAGUAAAAAACGUUUCUCUAAAUGCAUCUAAUUGUUAACUAAUUAAUAAUUUGCUAAGGGUUAAAUUCAAAGAAAAAGAUAGGGAUCAUAGAGGUUGUGACAAAAAUUAUUAUGAAAAAUUAAUUUUUUAUUACCACGUGAUUCAUGACGUUGAUGAUAUAAUUAUUGCAAGAUCUGCUAAAUCUUCUUAGCCACUAGGCUCCUAGUGGUUAGAACCCAAGCUUCACAAUUGUGAAGUCAUGGAUUUGAGCAUCCACAACCCAUUGUGGAGGUUUAUUUUUUUUCUUAAUUUGUGUAAAAACAGUCUUUUUUUUUUCGAAAUGUGAGUGGAGUGUGUGUCCCUAAAAUAUUAGAGAGGAUUAAAAUAUGGGUUGUGGAACAUAAGAUUUGUAAAUUAGUCCCAAAAAUUGUCAGAUUUAUAAAUUAAUCUCAGUAAUUGUCUAAUUGUAAAUAGCAUAUUAAUCUCAUUAAAUGUGAGUUGUAAUCUGAGCAUGAGUCUCAUGUAAUUAAAAAAAAAGAUCUAUUAAAUCUUCUUAUCUAAAUAAUAAAAUUAAUUUAAAUGACCCACUUAGAAAAUUAAUUCUGUUAAUAUCUGGCAUGCCUAAUCAUCGAAAAAAUAUGCAACACACAGUUUGGUGUAAGGCAUUAUCUAUUCCACCCAAGAAGUCUAAGGACAAGAACCUAAUUGGAGAGAGAAAUAUCAUCUUAACUAUAAAUGCUUUCGCAAUUAGGCUACAAAGAGAAUCACGUGAAGUGAAGUAAUAUUGACUAUUGAGUGUUUCGUUAAUUAAAAAUACGAACGGAUACCAAAUCUGAAGUGCUGUAACUUAAGUUACAAUUGCUGUAAAAAAAAUUAUAAUUAUGAAAUAAAAGUUAAUAUUAUAAAAAUAUAAAUUUUUAAAUAAUAAUUUUGAUAAAAUUAAGGAAUAUAUAAUAGAUUUUUUAUCAUACAUGUGUAACAUUAAAUCAAUUUAGCUUCCAAGUACAACAGGUAGUAUUUAUCAAAAACACAUUAGUGGUGUAAUUUUAAGUUAUAGCCGUCCAAUCUCAAUUUUAAACAGGCCUUAAGUAAACCAACUCUGUAAUUGUAAUCUUGCUGAUUUUGAGGUGAUAUUAAAUAAUUUGUGUUAGCUUUGUCCCAUGCCGUACAUAUGAACAACGAUCACUUGCACUUUCUAAAUAUAUCGGCCAACAUGUUUUUGUUAAUUGCAAGAAACUUCUUGUUUCCUUAUUUUACUUAAAGUCUGCAUCAUACAAUUCUCUCCGGUAAUAAAAUUUUCGGUGAAUUAGAACUUUCGAUAUAAUUCUUAUCCCUGAGCCUUGACAUGUUAUGAUUUGAGGCAUUUUGUUCAAUUUUUUUAAUCAAUUACUUUUUUUUUUUGAAAAUUCAAACUCAAGUAAGUAAUUAAAUAAAAAUUAUUAAAAAAAUCCAGCAACUUCUUCUUGUUGAUCACGCUGAAGUGGCUACUGAUCAUAUGAUUUGGACUUGACUAGCUUACAGAAUCUGUAAGCUACAGACUGCAGCAUCAGCCGUUGGAUGUGGUUGGAUGUGGAGUGAGAAACUAAACAAUAGAAGAUCGGAUGGUGGGAUGACGGGAGAUGUUUGUUACAGAAUCUGUACCAUAGACAGGUCCCAUAUGAUUUAUAUCAAACAGUGAUUUUCAAUGAUGAAGGUAUUUAUAUUACUUCUCUUUUUUUGGGAAAAUGAUAUUUAUUAAUUAAGAUACUAUUAGAACACUAGUCACAUGGGCAGGGUCAGAGUCAUCAUAUUAAUUGAUUGGGGGUUUAUUCAACGAUAAUAUAAAAAAAUUUAAAAAGUAAUAAAUAUAUAAAUAUGAAAUAUUUUUUAUACUUCAAAAUAUGUUUACAAAAGUCAUUUUCAAGUUUUCAUACAUUGAUAACGUUGCAUUACAAUUUCAUUAUCAAUAUCAUUAAAUAAGUCUUUUUCUAUGUAAACAACCAAACUAUCAUUCAUCCAUUGCUCUCUCAUUUGGUUUCGUAACCAAUUCUUCAAAAUAUUCAUGGCUGAAAAUUAAUAUUUAUGUUUAAAAUUUUAAUUAAUAUUGAUGUUUUUGGGCUUGAUUUUAGUUUGCAAAGCCCAUCUCUUUUGAUUUGUUUUAAAAAUUUGGAGUGUGCGAAUUUAAAUUUAAAUAUGUAUUAGGGACUUGAAUAUAAAUUAUUAGGGACUUAAGAAAAAAUUAUUAGGAAUUUUAGAUUAAUUAAAUUAACUAUUAAAAAAAAAUAUUUCAGUGGGGACUUAACUCGCCAUUGGUCCCAAGGGAAAUCCGCUCUUGCACAUGGGAAACAUUAAUAAUUGUCCCUCAACUAUGAGCUGUAAACUCGUAUAUGUCGGACACUAAUUCACUAUUGUUCGGUCAAAUAUGAAGUUUGUGGGGGUGGUGUGGGAUGGAUACCAGUAGCUGUGAUGAAAAGGCACGUUCAUCUUCCCUUUCUUGCCGAUUGGUUAAUUGUGCACAAUAAACAUGCUUUUCAUGACAUUGGAUUUAGGCUUGGGUGAAUUGUCGUACUACUUUAAGGGUCCAUUUGAGAUUGAGGUAUUGAGGUUGGGUAACUGGUUCUUAAAAGUUACAGUAUUAAAUUAUUUAAUAAACACUAUAUAUUGUAGUUUGGAAGUUAUAUUCAUAUAAUUUUUCACUUAUAUAAUGAAAAAUCUAUUAUAUCUUUAAUAUUUUUUGUUAAAAUUAUUAUUUAAAUUUUAUAUUUACUACAUACUGUUAACUUUUGUUUCAUGGUUAUAGGUUUUUUUUCACAACAGUUGUAUUAUAAAAAUUACAACAUCUCAAUUCUAAAUAAGAUCUGAAUUGAUGAUUAAUAUGAGGUGUCUAUACUCUACACUCAUUCAUAACGAAUGAAAGUGAAGGUAGAGUUCUUAAAAGAUUGCCUAGAGAUAAUGGGGGCGAAUCGGACAACUCCCAUUUGUAACGAAGAUGCUUUGAAUCACAUGAGUAAUCCAAAUUCUUAGCUUUUUUUCUUUUAAAAAAUAAUUAAAUGAAUAAAUUUCGCUUAUUAAAUAAUUAAAUUAAAAAUUACAGCAUUAAUAUCGUGAUAAACAUAAAUAUUAUAAAUUAUACAUAAAAUUAAUAAAUUCAUACAAGAUUAUUAAUUAUUUAAAAAAUUAACAUUGUUUCUAUAGAAUUCUAAUGAAAAAUAUUUUAUUCAUUUACAAAAAAAAAAUACUAGUUUUAAACGAAAGAAAAUUACUGAUUAAUUAAAAAAAAUUAUAUGAAAAUUGUUAUCUAUUGCUAUAUAUUUGGGUUGGAUGAAAAUUGUUUGGUUGUUUCUCUAAUAUUUUAAAUUCUAAUAUCUUUAUUUAGUUUACAAGGAAUUUGCUAAUGAUUUAUCCCUGUUUGUUCUCAGGAAAUUUAUGCGAUAAGUUUACUUUAACCCGGAUGGAAGCCAAAUUUUUACGGUUUUUGAAGAUUGUAGGUGUUGGCUACAAAGCCAGGGCCGAAG